Molecule: non-coding RNA, 5049 nt
Organism: Aegilops tauschii subsp. strangulata
Lineage: Eukaryota; Viridiplantae; Streptophyta; Magnoliopsida; Poales; Poaceae
Source: RefSeq, a predicted model, not a curated record
CAGUUGUCUCAGAUACCACUUCUAAACUGGUCUGUUCUUCUAGCCCACUUUCCUCCUGGCCUGCUUGCUGUGUAUUUUGUUCAUCUCCUCCUUGAUUUCCUUCUUGGGCCUCACUAUUUUCCUCAUUUAUUCCACUUUCUUCUGGUCGAUUCCCAUUGUCUAACACAAUAUUUAUUGAUUGCUUCUUUUUGUAGAAAUAAAUUAUCAAUGCUAUCAAAAGGGAAGAAGUUGAAGCAACUCCAGUAAGGAUAAAUAAUCCCCUGAAGUUGGCAAAUGAAUUAAGCUAGGUCUCACUCCUUGCAGCUGAAAGCUGGAACAUGCAACCGUGUGCUCAUUUACACAGCAACAAAACUGACACCUGUGGUCCUGAUGCAACACCCCUGGUGAACAGAAUGCAAUAAUUCUUGGACAUUAUCUUUGGAAUAGUUUGAUGUGAUGUGGAAAUCCAGUUGCUCUUAAUAGUAAUGUUAUGUGAUGCGCAGUUGCUUCCUAAUUGUACUUGUUGCAGCAUAACAGAAUGAGCUGAUGCAGUGACCUAACAAUUGAGAACAUGUACCUUGAGAUGCAGCUUGGACAUCAUCACUCAUGGAAUCUCUGAUGUGGAGGACAAGCUUGGUGCUAUAGUUCCGAUGAACAGCAUAGAAGUCCUCCAUAGCCAGUGAAACGCUGGUCCGUGCCAUUUUGCCAACAAUGGACCCCAAGUCAAGGAUAACCCCAACAUGGAGUUCCUGUGCUUCUUCUCUAGAAGUGUUUUGGGCGACAGCAAGGUUGAUUGUCAGCAAGAGGAGCAUGAUGACAUUUUGCAGCUCCAUCUGCUGAGCCGUGAGGUCAGAGGCUUCUACUGCACGUCUUUUCUAUUGGCUCCUGUGAUGGUUGACUUGGAUGUAUUAGUGAAAUGCUCUAUGUGUGAUGAUUGACAGACUUUGAAAUGGUCUUUGAAGUUAUGAUUGGCUCAGUGUGAUAUUCUUUACCCCAACAGAGGAAAGGAGCCAAGGAGUGCUGAGGUCAGAUGGUUUCUCCCCUGCAUACAGAUAACUGGACCCUUGUCCAUAACAAGGAAGUGAAUUAUUGCCCCUUCUAAAACAAGGUAACUCUUAAGUCAAACCUUCUCUUGGCGGAGGGUUUUUUCAUCUGUGAACUACGUCUUAGAUACAUCUGUUUGAGGGACAAGUAAUUCCGGACAGAGAGAGUAGAUAAUUGCCCAUGCGUUGCAACAUGACAUAAAUAUUCUAGCACAUUAACCUGUGAUUUACAUGUUCAUAUUAAUAUGAUUGUGUAAAUAAAUGUUUACUAAAUCCUGUCCGUGAUUUAUGUACCUAAAUAAUUUUUAAGAUUUUACUCCCUCCGUCCCAAAAUAAGUGUCUCAACUUUGUACUAGCUCUAGUACAAAUUUGUACUAAGCUCAAGACACUUAUUUUAGGACGGAGGGAGUAUCUGGUAAUCAUUUAUUUGGUAAAAACUUAUUGGCUUACAAAAGAUAAUUUGGCAAGUCAAAAAAAGGCCAAGACAUUUAAGGCGGUUUUCAAGGAAAACUAAUGAAAAAAAACCAAAGGUGGGAGAAAAGAAUCAAGGCAAAGAGAGGGAGGGAGGAAUGUACUUAAAAUUGAACGAAGGAUGAAGUGGAAGACAGAACCUUACAAUUCUAUUUGUGUGUAGGAGAGAUUGGGAUGGACGCAAUGUUUCUUACCUCGUGUCAACAGUAAAAUCAGAAAAAAUGAAAAAUAAUAAUAAUAAUAAUAAUAAUAAUAAUAAUAAUAAUAAUAAUAAUAAUAAUAAAAUUCUGUUUUUUUGGGAAACAUUGACAAAUGUUUUGAGUGCUUGCAAAAUUUUAUUAUGGAAUGACUCGUGGAAGUUGUGACCGAAAAGUCGAUGCUCCAAAGACGAUCUUGUAUCAUGGAGUGCAAGAAAACAACUUAUAAUAUCAAGAUUCAACACAGAAGCAAAAUAUAGGUCUCUUGCAAACGCAACAACAAAAGUAAUUUUUGGAGCAUUGUUACACUCCCUUCCCCGCAAAAAAAAGUGAUACGGGUUCAAUCAUUGUUACAUUUUUUUUUGAAACUUCAAUCAUUGUUACAACAGCUUGGUGUUUGUCACCCACAAGCAGCAACCUUAUGGUGUGAUAAUAUUGAUGCCAAGUAUCUGUCAACAAAUCCUAUGGUUCAUGCUAGAACCGACAGGGCGUUUUGGUGCCCGAGCCCAGCUGAACCUGAUAUCUUCACCUUCCAUUCUGCGCUCGGGAUCUGUGAAAAGAGGUCUGCCGUGUCAGGCGCGGGUCGCAGAAAAUAGGCAGCGAGGCGAAAUACGGUAGGAAACAGUGCGCUAGCAGUCGGCCAGGGGCGUGCGUUUUUUACGGAGCAGGCGCGGGCGUGAACUGGUCCGUGGACCAGGACGUUAGUGUUUUUGCGUUCCAUGGAUCAGAUAAGGGGAACAGGCCGGUGCCGAGAAACUGAGCCGUCCGUCUCACACGUUUGCGACACACGUGCGUCUCGGUCGUUCUGGAAAACCCUUGCCGCCCAACCACCCCCGGCCGCCACCAUCCGCCGGCCGCCACACCACGCUGCGACGACCGGCAAGAGUAUUUCUUGCGGCGGCGAUAGCUGGUCGACGGCAACCGCUACGUGAGCGACAUGGAAGAUGCUGGAUUGGACUUCUUCCUUGAUGCCAUUGACAGGUUCCCCCUGCAGGAAUUCGCGGACAGCCACGAACACCCAGAUUCAGUUCCUCUGAUUUUGUUGGCGAGCGGCGGAGUAGGAGCGACGGCCCCUGCUGAUUCCAAUGCUUGCUCCGGUUGUGGUCAGCAGAGCGGCGGCGACGGCAGCGAAGCUGCGCGUGCUGGGGUUCGGCGACGACAGGAGUCAUCCCCGACGAGGUCCACAGUCCACCGACAGAGUCAAUCCCCAGGCCCCUCUGGUUGCACAAAAAGAUUAAGGCUGGGUAGUGCGUCGCCCGACCGGAUGCCAUGUCCAUCCAGAAUGAUUUCUAUGGAUUGGAAUAGUCGAUUUGCAAAUAAGCAGAGGAAUCAACAAAAAGUGUGACAAGGCCUGAACUAAGUUUCAGUUUUUAUUCCUUUGGCUGAGGCUCGGUAGCACCCUCCCUGAUAGAACCCCAUGCGCUUCCCGGAUGAGUGUGCUGGUGCGAUUCGGAAAUUUGUGGAGAAACCAACAAAAGUGUGAUCAAGCCUGAGCUGGGAUCAAACUUUGACUCCCUCGGCGAGGCGUACAAUUUCUACAAUUGUACUUGUGGGAAGUGGGAUUCGGGAUAAGAUAUUAUAAAAGCAGAUUGAACGCGGAGAGGGAGAAAUCAAUGCAGGAAAUUGUGUGUGAAUGCUCAGGAAAGCCUGAAGUCGGGAACAACCGGUCUUGCAGAUGUGAGUGUCCGACGCUGAUCAGGCUCCUGAGUCCUGAGUGUCAGACAUCAGUUGUUUUUUAACAGAGCAUCGUGUGAAACAUAACCACUCAAUGUCUCUGAUGAUGGGAGAGAAAGUGCAUUAGCCAUCAGAAAGUUGUGAACCACAUGCUCACAGUAAACGAGAUUGAAAAUGCCUGGACUAUAUUGAUGGAAAAGUAUAAUCUGAAACAGCACCCAUACAUGAUGGAGAUAUAUGAGAUCAGGACCAAGUGGGUGAACCCUUAUUUCAAGGGGGUUCUCUGUGCAAGAAUGACAAGCACACAACACAACAAGAGUGCUAAAUAAUAUGCUGAAAACGUAUAUGCCUCGUGCCAUUGCAGUGCACAUGUUUGUGAGCCAGUACAUAUGGCUCCAGUUUGACCGUGAACGUGAUGAGAGCUACAAGGAGAAAAGAACAAGGAUUUUAAGUCAGUGUCUUCCCUUCUCUGUCAUUUGAUCAGAGUGUAGCCGUGCGGCGUAUAAACCCUGUGAUCGAGAGGCAUGCAAUCAAGGUUUAUACUCGAGACAUGUUCUAGUAGUUUGGUCAGUUCCUUAUUGAGGGAACUGCAUAUAAUGUGACUGAGAUUGACAAGGGUAAGAAGUAUGUGACGACAUAUAACCAUGCGACCAACCGGGAGAAGUGGAGUAGCGUAGUCUACGAGGUGAGAAUAAAAGAUGACGGCACUGAAUACGAGUGCGAGUGCGGACAAUUUGAACACAUGGGAAUAUUUUUGCUGCCAUGUGCUCAGGUGAUGGACGUAUUGAAUUUGGCUGAAAUACCGGAGAAGCACAUUGUUAAGUGUUGGAAAAAAGACGCGGGGGAUAUACUACCCAGACAUCUGGUCCAUUACCAGAAGAAUGGAGCAGUGAACCAUUCAUUCACUUGUAGGCACUCCACAGUGACCUACAAGCGAUUGAUAUUGUUAGAAUGAGUGAUGAGAGUGCGGAAGAGUUUGAUCGCAUGUUGAGGAAAUGAAAGCAGUAAUGCUGAGUUGUGCUCCUUUGGCUGAGAAGAGGGAUGAGCCCGAUUUUGAAGACCAGCAGACAACAUAAUCUGCUUGAAGGAAUGCCGGUAAUGGCUAGGUUGCCGCAAUAGGAGAUGGUCCUCCUACUGAAAAGCAUAGUUUGGGAUUCUCCGGUGGUGUAAAUGCACGGCAGGGACUAGCGCCAGCGGCAAAGGCAGAGGGGAGCUGGUAGGCUGACAAACAGCUGUUACAAGGCUCCUUGCGAGGGUUUGAGCGAGCGGACGGGAUUCUGCAGGAUCUGCCGAAGGCAAGGGAACAAGAGAACAACUUGCCCUGAACGCGGGGAUGCCCCGAAGCAGCCUUGCAAACUCGGGAAGUGCAAGAAUUGUGGAGUUGAGGAGCACAUGCGUAACAGUUGCACAAGGCCUCUGCGCGACAAUUGGUGGAAAGAAUAAGAUGAGGUUGAUAUUUGUAUGAUUCCAUUAGCAUUUGAGGAUUUUCUAGCAGUGCUUGUGUAUGCAUGGCUUAGAAAGCAUAUGUGAGAGUGCAAGUAAAUGAUGAUACACUGUUGCAUUUAGUGGGUGAGUGUUUCAAUUUGAAAAUUGAACUUGGGUUGCACUGAAUGCAGUUUCAAUAUUUUUUUUUGAACUUGCAGUUUCAAAAUUUGAAUGAAUGGAAGCCAACGUGUAUAGAGCUA